UGCCCUGACACAGGCGAGCAGCUAAACUUAAAGUGUGGAGUGAGAGGAAUGCCAAGGUCCAGUAAGCCCCUCGGGGCAAUUAGGAAGGGAAGAGGAGAUUCUACUGGGGAACAAGUGUGUGUUUUCAUGUGUGUGUGAGACAGAAAUAGAGUUGAGAGACUCAGUUGGAGUUCAUGAGCUCGUUUUCAGCCAGAGAAGUAACCAGUGAGCAAAGGAGUUCAUGUGCAGUCAAGAGAACGAGAAGGGAUCAAGCUUGGAGCGUCAAACAGGUUAUGCCCUGUUUUGUGAUUAACCCUGGCAGCCAUACACUACAGCUGGAAGCGCAACACAACAUCCAGCACCGUGAAGCUCCAAGGCUGUAGACAUGACAAGGACAGAGCAGGUUGGAGUUGAAUCAGAGGAAGACGGAGCACUUCUAAUCUUAUCGGGAUCGUUUUGGAGACUUGCACAAAACUCAAGGACGUUAAAGAUUUUUCCAG
Long non-coding RNA from Oreochromis aureus, 479 nucleotides. RefSeq lists it as uncharacterized. The transcript is spliced from 3 exons. The record is from RefSeq and is a predicted model, not a curated record. NCBI's taxonomy places the organism in Eukaryota, Metazoa, Chordata, Actinopteri, Cichliformes, Cichlidae.